UGGGGAAUUUUGGACAAUGGGGGCAACCCUGAUCCAGCCAUUCCGCGUGAGUGAAGAAGGCCUUCGGGUUGUAAAGCUCUUUCGCAAGGGAAGAAAACUUAUGAUCGAAUAAAUCAUGAGGUUGACGGUACCUUGAUAAGAAGCACCGGCUAACUACGUGCCAGCAGCCGCGGUAAUACGUAGGGUGCGAGCGUUAAUCGGAAUUACUGGGCGUAAAGCGUGCGCAGGCGGUUUUGUAAGUCGGAUGUGAAAUCCCCGGGCUCAACCUGGGAACUGCGUUCGAAACUGCAAGGCUAGAGUGUGUCAGAGGGGGGUAGAAUUCCACGUGUAGCAGUGAAAUGCGUAGAGAUGUGGAGGAAUACCAAUGGCGAAGGCAGCCCCCUGGGAUAACACUGACGCU
Molecule: ribosomal RNA, 400 nt
Filed under: uncultured bacterium
Lineage: Bacteria
Description: bacterial SSU rRNA
Rfam family: Bacterial small subunit ribosomal RNA
Source: RNAcentral